GACAGACUCUCAGAAACCAGGGUCCGUGGGGAAUAAAUAUUGCAUAAGCCCCGAGGCGGACAAGAUUAUGUGAUUUCUCUGUGUUAUGCUGCAUUUCAUGAAAGCAUGUAAUUAAUGAACUGUUUUCUAUGUUUCUACUCACUGGGCUUUUUAGCUCAUCCCUUUCCCCUAAUCCCAGUGUUGCAGGUUUAAGUCAGAGCUCAGAAGUCAGCAGGAUAAAGAUAAAGUGACGUGUGUUUGUAAUGUAGUAG
Molecule: long non-coding RNA, 251 nt
Filed under: Manihot esculenta (cassava)
Lineage: Eukaryota; Viridiplantae; Streptophyta; Magnoliopsida; Malpighiales; Euphorbiaceae
Description: long non-coding RNA (MESC_LNC012560)
Source: RNAcentral